Small nucleolar RNA from Zingiber officinale, 107 nucleotides. NCBI's taxonomy places the organism in Eukaryota, Viridiplantae, Streptophyta, Magnoliopsida, Zingiberales, Zingiberaceae. The record is from RefSeq and is a predicted model, not a curated record.
AUACCAUGAUGAGGGCGUUGCAAUAGCAAUUCUUUGAGUCUUUUCCAAGCUUUAAAUAGUGAUUCUCCUUCUAAUUAUUUAAAUUCUGUGAUUUGACUUCUCAAUUU